This 410-nucleotide ribosomal RNA is filed under the name uncultured bacterium. Its description in RNAcentral is "bacterial SSU rRNA". It matches the Rfam family "Bacterial small subunit ribosomal RNA", at positions 40 to 496 of the family's 1533-position model. The record is from RNAcentral.
CGGCGUGCUUAACACAUGCAAGUCGAACGAACCUUCGGGUUAGUGGCGGACGGGUGAGUAACGCGUGAGAAUCUGCCCUCAGGAGGGGGAUAACAGCUGGAAACGGCUGCUAAUACCCCAUAUGCCGCGAGGUGAAAUGAAUUUCGCCUGAGGAUGAGCUCGCGUCUGAUUAGCUAGUUGGUGUAGGUAAUGGCUCACCAAGGCAUCGAUCAGUAGCUGGUCUGAGAGGAUGAUCAGCCACACUGGGACUGAGACACGGCCCAGACUCCUACGGGAGGCAGCAGUGGGGAAUUUUCCGCAAUGGGCGAAAGCCUGACGGAGCAACGCCGCGUGAGGGAUGAAGGCCUCUGGGCUGUAAACCUCUUUUAUCAAGGAAGAAGAUCUGACGGUACUUGAUGAAUAAGCCACGG